This is a long non-coding RNA of Piliocolobus tephrosceles (Ugandan red Colobus), 2344 nucleotides long. RefSeq lists it as uncharacterized. The transcript has 4 exons. The record is from RefSeq and is a predicted model, not a curated record. Lineage: Eukaryota; Metazoa; Chordata; Mammalia; Primates; Cercopithecidae.
CCUAAAGAGCUGGGAUUACAGGUGUGAGCGACUGCACCCAGCCUCCUACUUUGUGAAAUUCUGCCACCGUGCCCAGUGACAGAUUGAUUAGAUGUAAAAAAUCUCCAUUUUCUUAGGAUGUCAUUAGAGAAUUACCUCCCUCUUGUAAUCCUCCCAAGAUGAUCUGAUAUAGGAUGUUACUCUUUUCUAAGACAAUCUGUUCCUUAAGAAAUCUGUGUGUGAAUGAGACUCUACAAAAUUCUUUGGUCAGACACUGUUCAUCAGGUCGUCGCAGGAGAUUCCAUAGAAAGGCCACACGUCGCUCUUUUCCUCUGAGAGCACCGAGAGAACAUCGUCAUGAAAAUAAAUAAGGAGCAAUAGAGCCAUGAAUGAGCACUAGGCCAGUCACGGAAUUAACAUCUUCAGAGGGACCGUGUUGAUUCAGGAAGGCGUUUCGAGUGGCCCCCGUGAGGGCUGCUCACCGUGCUCUGUGCUCGGCAUUCAUCGCUGCAGACAUGCUCUCCCCACCUAGGGGAGGCUCCCUGAGACCCGAACCGUGAGAGCUUGCAGCCUCCUUGGCCAUGCUCACCACCAUGCGUGGUUGGCACUUCCCUUGCACACAGUAGGUGCUUAGCAGAAGUUUAUUGUCUGAUUAACAAAAUCCUCUUUUCCAGUCCAGUGUGGAGCACCUGAUGGAGAAAAUGAAGACCACCAUCCAGAGGGGCCUUGUGCUCAGGGUUGGGCACCCUCUCCAUUUGAUAGAAACUUUGGAACCAAAAUAUCUGCCAGAGCUGUGGAGUGGAUUACUGCAAAACUCAAGGAGGCCCAGUGCAGAGAUAAGUGGUCUGGGGAGGGAGGCAGUCUGCCUUGGUGAAAAUGCUGUACUAUCGGGGAGAAGUAGGGUGCUGGUUCCUUCUUCAGUUCAGCACUGAGCUGCAUGUGAUGUUCUAACUUGUGCUGGUCUCUGAGCAUUGCUAUUUAACCAAACUUGGAUUUCUGGGAUAAGGUCAGCUUGGGCGUGGGUGACAUGUUCUCUUUUAUCACUGCUAGAUUCAACCUGAAGCUCUCUUGUGCAGGCUUUUUGCUCUGGAGAUCCUGAGCGUCAGCCCACAGUUUCCUUCACAGUUUAAGUGGGGCCUUCUAUUUUUUGGAUGUUUGUUAGGACAACCUCCUUGUGACUCCAUCCAUCAGAACUUCCAGUUUUGAGGAAGAUUUGGCUGCUGAAUGAAUUGUUCAUCUUUGUAGAACUAUGCAUGUUUUUCCUUGAAUCAGUUUUGAAAAAAAUUGACCACUGAUGAUUCCAUUUGUGUGCUGGGAAUAAGCAAAAGAAACGUUAUUUUUCAACCUGUGGCAGAGCUGAAGAAGCAAAUGGAUUUUGAGUAAAUCGGAGUUGUAUUGCCUUUGCAAACCCAGCCAAUUUGAUUCAGCCGACCCUACAAACCGCAUGUUUCUGGCAAGACCACUCACUGUGCUGGCCGUGGCAUCUUUCAGCCUCACUGCUGUGCCCUCAUCCCUCCACAGACACAGGAUUCCCAAAGAACAGUGGUGGCUCAAGCUGCGGCCCCUCAUGAAGAUCUUGGCCAAGUACAAGGCCAGCUACGAUGUGUCGGACUCAGGCCAGCUAGAGCACGUGCAGCCCUGAAGCGUCUGACCCAGUCCUGCCUGCAUGUGCCUACAACCUGGACUCACCGUGGACCAUCUGUUUUUGUAACACUUAAGUUAUUUAUCAGCACUUUAUGAAAGUAUUAUUGACAUUAAUACCUAACCAGCAAGCACCUGUCACCGCCCAUGUGCCCCACCAGCUCCAGUGCAUGCUGUGUGUGGACUGUGUCUCAUGCUUUCUGAUGUGUGUAUCAAAUGUUUGCCUACAACUGCAACAGUCCUCCGUUUUAGUUUUUUAAGUAGGAGAUUAAAACCUCAAUCUAUGGGUGGCUACUAAUGGUUUUCUCAGCACUUUUGUGGGCAAAGAUUAUAAAAAUAUUUUUAGUAGGGAUCACUGAACUACGCACAACUCAUAAAAGGAGAAAAAAGCCAGUUGUUUACACAGGCCAAAGGGAACACCGUGUUUAUUGCCAUGUGUCAGUUUCCAUCCACAGCAGCAGGCCAGGACCCUGGGCCUGGACCCCAGGCUCCUGCUCUCCUUAGAAAGUAAAAGAAACACAGGAAUCUUAUCUACUAGGCCUCUUGAUUGCAAUCCUAGCUGCAUGUUAAAACCACCAAGGUAGGGGUUCGAAAAAUCUGAUAGCCAGUUUCUCAUCCAGUCCAAGCCACGGUCCUCGCUGGGACCUAAUUUGGAAUUCUCUGAUGACUCUUGCCAGAAUAGACACGGGUGCUGGGGUGACAGCCCUGCCACCCUCGCGGGCCC